CUUCCUUCGUGCCCUAAUAACACGUGUCCUUUUUUCUCGGGCAUUGUCCUUUAUUAUAUAAAUUAUAAUUUAUAUAUCUAUAACUGUCAAUCACCACAUAUAUGUUGUCUUUGUGAUUAUUAACUACAGGAAUUACAUAAAGGCUAUAAUUUACACAACUGUAUCUUAUCUCUGUGAUUGCAGCCACAGGGCCAAUCGUCAUUAAACAGUGGCCAGAAAAUGCAGGAAAAAGCGUUUUUUAAGCUUAGAAGAUCAAAAAUCGUCUGAGGUAGGGGAACAUGCCCCCAGGCCCCCCUUUCAGGUUUCUCGCGUUUUGCCGAUAAAUCUAACUUCAGAAAAUUCU
Paramuricea clavata is the source of this 343-nucleotide non-coding RNA. The record is from the annotation of a GenBank genome assembly. NCBI's taxonomy places the organism in Eukaryota, Metazoa, Cnidaria, Anthozoa, Malacalcyonacea, Plexauridae.